GACGAACGCUGGCGGCGUGCUUAACACAUGCAAGUCGAACGGUGACCCAGGGCUUGCCCUGGUGAUCAGUGGCGAACGGUGAGUAACACGUUGGGCAACCUGCCCCUGACUUCGGGAUAACUCCUCGAAAGAGGAGCUAAUACCGGAUACGACCACUUCGGACAUCCGAUGGUGUGGAAAGUUUUUCGGUCAGGGAUGGGCCCGCGGCCUAUCAGCUAGUUGGUGGGGUAAUGGCCUACCAAGGCGACGACGGGUAGCCGGCCUGAGAGGGCGACCGGCCACACUGGGACUGAGACACGGCCCAGACUCCUAC
Molecule: ribosomal RNA, 313 nt
Filed under: uncultured bacterium
Lineage: Bacteria
Description: bacterial SSU rRNA
Rfam family: Bacterial small subunit ribosomal RNA
Source: RNAcentral